RNAcentral lists this ribosomal RNA (458 nucleotides) under Staphylococcus aureus. RNAcentral's name for it is "bacterial SSU rRNA". It matches the Rfam family "Bacterial small subunit ribosomal RNA", at positions 1 to 447 of the family's 1533-position model. The record is from RNAcentral. Lineage: Bacteria; Bacillati; Bacillota; Bacilli; Caryophanales; Staphylococcaceae.
UUUUAUGGAGAGUUUGAUCCUGGCUCAGGAUGAACGCUGGCGGCGUGCCUAAUACAUGCAAGUCGAGCGAACGGACGAGAAGCUUGCUUCUCUGAUGUUAGCGGCGGACGGGUGAGUAACACGUGGAUAACCUACCUAUAAGACUGGGAUAACUUCGGGAAACCGGAGCUAAUACCGGAUAAUAUUUUGAACCGCAUGGUUCAAAAGUAAAAGACGGUCUUGCUGUCACUUAUAGAUGGAUCCGCGCUGCAUUAGCUAGUUGGUAAGGUAACGGCUUACCAAGGCAACGAUGCAUAGCCGACCUGAGAGGGUGAUCGGCCACACUGGAACUGAGACACGGUCCAGACUCCUACGGGAGGCAGCAGUAGGGAAUCUUCCGCAAUGGGCGAAAGCCUGACGGAGCAACGCCGCGUGAGUGAUGAAGGUCUUCGGAUCGUAAAACUCUGUUAUUAGGGAAG